AUGAACGCUGGCGGCGUGCCUAACACAUGCAAGUCGCACGGAGUCCAGCCUUAGAGACCUUCGGGUCAAAGAGGGGAAGACUGAGUGGCGGACGGGUGAGUAACACGUGGGCAACCUGGCUCAUAGAGGGGGAUAACAGAGAGAAAUUUCUGCUAAUACCGCAUAAGCACACACUGCCGCAUGGCAGAGUGUGAAAAGAGAAUCGCUAUGAGAUGGACCCGCGUCUGAUUAGCCAGUUGGCAGGGUAAGAGCCUACCAAAGCGACGAUCAGUAGCCGAUUUGAGAGGAUGAACGGCCACAUUGGGACUGAGACACGGCCCAAACUCCUACGGGAGGCAGCAGUGGGGGAUAUUGCACAAUGGGGGGAACCCUGAUGCAGCGACGCCGCGUGAGUGAAGAAGUAUUUCGGUAUGUAAAGCUCUAUCAGCAGGGAAGAUAAUGACAGUACCUGAAUAAGAAGCCCCGGCUAACUACGUG
RNAcentral lists this ribosomal RNA (477 nucleotides) under uncultured bacterium. RNAcentral's name for it is "partial 16S ribosomal RNA". It matches the Rfam family "Bacterial small subunit ribosomal RNA", at positions 30 to 507 of the family's 1533-position model. The record is from RNAcentral.